AUGGGUGAUACAGAGGGCCGGCCGCUGGCAACAUCGGUCCAAUCCUUAAAGUCAUCCUCAGUUCGGACUGGGGUCUGCAACCCGACCCCACGAAGCUGGAUUCGCUAGUAAUCGCGCAUAAGCCAUGGCGCGGUGAAUACGUUCCCGGGCCUUGUACACACCGCCCGUCAAGCCAUGAAAGCCGGGGGGCGCCUGAAGUCCGUGACCGCGAGGGUCGGCCUAGGGUGAAACCGGUGAUUGGGGCUAAGUCGUAACAAGGUAGC
Molecule: ribosomal RNA, 263 nt
Filed under: uncultured bacterium
Lineage: Bacteria
Description: partial 16S ribosomal RNA
Rfam family: Bacterial small subunit ribosomal RNA
Source: RNAcentral